Canis lupus familiaris (dog) is the source of this 104-nucleotide non-coding RNA. The record is from Rfam. Lineage: Eukaryota; Metazoa; Chordata; Mammalia; Carnivora; Canidae.
AGGAGCAACAGCCCCAGUGGCGGGGCAGCUCUGGAAACCUGGAUUCAGCCCCCGCAGGAACUCCGGAGCUCUCCGUCUGCAGGGCCUGGAGGCUCCGGGGCGGG